UACGUAGGGUGCAAGCGUUGUCCGGAAUUAUUGGGCGUAAAGAGCUCGUAGGCGGUCUGUCGCGUCUGCUGUGAAAACUCGGGCUUAACCCCGGGCCUGCAGUGGGUACGGGCAGACUAGAGUGCGGUAGGGGAGACUGGAAUUCCUGGUGUAGCGGUGAAAUGCGCAGAUAUCAGGAGGAACACCGGUGGCGAAGGCGGGUCUCUGGGCCGUAACUGACGCUGAGGAGCGAAAGCGUGGGGAGCAAACAGG
Molecule: ribosomal RNA, 252 nt
Filed under: uncultured bacterium
Lineage: Bacteria
Description: partial 16S ribosomal RNA
Rfam family: Bacterial small subunit ribosomal RNA
Source: RNAcentral